This is a long non-coding RNA of Leopardus geoffroyi (Geoffroy's cat), 243 nucleotides long. RefSeq lists it as uncharacterized. The transcript has 2 exons. Lineage: Eukaryota; Metazoa; Chordata; Mammalia; Carnivora; Felidae. The record is from RefSeq and is a predicted model, not a curated record.
UACCUCGCACCUGUCAGAAUGGCUAAAAUCAACAACACAAGAAACAAGAGCUGCCACUGUAGUGACCAGCUUUGCAAGGACCUGGACUGACUUCACACAGAUGCAACAUGACAGCCCUGCGCCCUGGACCGAAGCCACACCACCCCCCUGUCUCCUAUCCUGUGGGCUGCUCUGUUGACAUUGCUUUGGGACAUUAACUCUGAAAUCUCAUCACUGUCAUCAAUAAAAAAGCAUGGCAAUCUG